GCCACAAACCUGUAAGGACUUAAUCACCCUAAACAUCAACAAAACUUCAAGGGACUUAAUUUCCCUAAACAACAACAAGCCUUCAGGAAACAUCUGUCCUCUAGAGGCAAACAACAACAGACCUGCAGGGAUUACACUACCCUGCAAUGACUGGAAUUAAAAGGCUAACAACCACAAACCUGUAGGGACUUAAUCACCCUAAACAGUAACAAACCUUCAAGGGACUUAACUGUCCUGAACAUAUGGGAGACCUUCAGGAAAUAACUGUCCUGUAGAGGCAAACAACAACAAACCUUCAGGGACUUCACCGUCCUGAGUAGCAACACAACUUCAAGGGACUUGACUGCCCUGAACAUAAGGGAGGCCUUCAGAACAGAGAAAAAGAUAGCGGAAGCAAUAAAGGUAGGACUAGGUGUUGGUGCAUUGGUGGCACAAGUGGCGAAGACGAUGGCCGCGAAAGUGAUCGGCGACGGUGGCCGACAACGGUGGCCGGAGAUGGUGGCUGGAUGGCAACACCGGACAGAUGCGAAACAAAAACCAGAGACUGCGCAUUGAAGUAUAAAAACACAGGUUGAAAAAAAGACUUUUAGGGGGCCGCCGGUGGCGGUAGCCACCAGCGGCAACAAAGACAAAGUAGAAAAUGAUCAAAAAACCUGGUCUGAUACCAUGUAAAGAAAGAAAAUGGGAAAAAACUGUCUUAUUAGUUUUGAAUAAAAUAUGAGAAAUAUAUAUAAGAGAGAAUCUAUAAUUCUGCUAUUUUAUCCUAUAAAUAUUCUAUAAUGAUAUAACAUUAUUACUGCACAUCACCUAUAAUAAUAACAAUAUAUUCUCUCAAUAAUCUAGAGAUAUGAUUUAUUUUUCUAACAAUGUUAUCCAAAAACAAACACAAAAAACAUACAAAAAAAAAAAUUGAUCCUUGAAGAAUUUCAGUGAAGAAGUGAGAGUGACAGCACCGCCGUAAAUGAGAGCCCGUAAAUGAGAGCAAGUUCCGUGAGAGUGAUUUGUGAGAGCAGAAGUUACUUUUUUGGUAUACACACUGAGUGAAGAAAGUCUCUUAUUUUUAGAAUUUCAUAAAUAAAAUAAUAAAUUAAAAAAGUAAAAUUAGGUAGGUGGGUUGGCGGGUUAACCCGAUCCACUACGGGUUCAACCCACACGAAUCAAGUUUAAAUGAGCCAGGUUAAAAUCUGACCCGCAUAAAAAAAAUUCAAUUUUUUCAAACCCAACCUGGCCCAAACCCGUGGUGAGCUGGGUUGACUUGCGGAUUGUGACCCAUUUUGACGACUCUAAAAAUAUGUAUGAAUUUUUACUUAGAAUGAAAUAAUAAAACCCAGAACACCCCGUUCUAAUUCCUAUAUAUCUUAAAAACUAACGUCGUAGAGGUGGAAUAUCAUUUUUAAAUUAGUAGUGGAGACAUAUGAGUGUGUCAACUUUUUUUUCUUAUUAUAGAAAGAUUAUUAUUAUAAUUAUUAUGAUAAUUAUUGAAUAAAAAUUACUUUAUUAAUGUUAUAGAUUAUAUAUUAAGAAGAAACUUGCAUGGAAAUCGGUUUCCGGAAGGAAAGAGUUUCAGUUACAUAACUGAACUGAAAAGGGUAUACUAUCGAUUUUCUUUUUCCGUUUAUUCAAUUCAUUCAAACAUUUCCAACACACACCAAUCUUAUGAAGGUUCAUUUUCAAGAAUUAAUCAGAUAGGUCGAUCACGCGAGCAUGGCUUUGAGGUUUUCCAUAUCGCAGGCAAGUUUUACUCCUCAAUUCAGUACGUCCUUCGUCAAUCUCCGAUACGGAGAUUGCAUCCGUAUCGAUUUCAGCCUGUUGCGUUAUACGGUAAUUUGUGUGUAUGGAGUUUUUUGUUCUGUGACUUACGAAUGAAUAUCCUGUGGAGGCUUCAAGUAUCGGGUUUGCAGAGCUGAUCUUUAACUUAUUACUGUUCGUCUUAUAGUGUUUUUAUCAGUCGUCGAGCUUUUGAUAAUUUGCUCGUGAUUCUACUUUCAAACCCUUCCAUUUACACCAGGGAAAUAUGAGAACUUGAACUUGUGUUCGGUAUACAUGUUGUGUGCAUUAUUGAUUAUGUUGCUAGUUUUUACACAAAACUAGUUGGCAUAUGUUGUUUAUAUCUUGGAUUUAUUUAUGAUUUAGCUACUUUCAUAAUUUAUUUUUACAGGUUGCAAGACGACAAUCUAAGUUUGGACGGAUUCAAAGUGUGUUUGCUAGAAGCUAUUUUUCUGUCAAUAACUUUGGAAAUCGUCCAGGUAUAGAUCCCUUCCUCCUAGACCAUGCAUUAUUCUUAUAGUUAACUUCUUGUCAUUUGCUUGUAUAAGUUAAAAGUUUUGCUUUUCUUAAUAUAGCUUAAUUUUAUUCCCUGAUUAUGUUGGUUUGGGAAUUAACUUUCAACAAUUUUUUUGUGUUGUGGGAUUAUUUUAUCUUUCUCUCCUUUUUCUUUUUCGGAGUGGAUGAAUUGGUUUCUUUGUGUAAUUAUUCAUGGCUGUUUUUACUUUCAGUAUACGUUCAUGUUCAAAGUACUAUUGGAUAUUGAGUUCCGUUUGGCAUUUAGCUUUAUGUUUUUUGCACUUUCAAAAUUAUAUAUGUAGGUUAUAGACUUUUGGGUGCCCAAGAGAGAUUUCAGUCUCGCUACUUUGGCAGUAUAUCUCGUCAAGUGCGUGAUGCAGUUGAAGCCACUAAAGUUGCUUAUCUCAAAGAGCUUUACCGUCGGAAUGAUCCUGAGGCUGUGAUUAGAGAAUUUGAAAGCCAACCAUCUUUGCAUAAUACCUCAGCUGUUUCCGAAUACGUGAAAGCAGUGGUGCAAGUUGAUAGGCUUGACAAAACUGAAUUAAUGAAGACAUUUAAGAGAGGUGCUUAUUUCGGUUGAACUGCUCAUAUUUGUUUGCUUGAUGUUAUAAUUCUAAGUGUAAGUUUAAGUUUCUUAUUACAUACAAUUACGAAAGUAGUAGACCGUAUAAAAAUGAAGAUUUAUUAAUCUUUUACCUUAAGGUUUUAAGUAAAGAAUGGUGUCAAUUUUUUAUAUUAAGUUCAGGUCUCUCAUUGGUAUUGUAUCUGUAAUAAGCUUCGUCCUUUAGAGACGUAACAUUUGAUUCCCCUGUAUCUCUUAAUACUUGCUGAUUGACCUUUUAAUUUUAUUCAUUAUUUAAUUAUAUAAGGUCUUUGCCAAGCAGAGAACCAUAUGCGGUUUUAGUGGUUCUACUUUCUUUCAGGGUACUAUAUUGUUUCGUAGGGGUGUGGAAGUGGUGGAAUUUUGUCUGCUAGAAUUCACUGACCAAGAAGUUUUCCUGACUUCAAAUUUUGAUCAAACAAAAGUGUUGCUAUUUUGAUUAUAAAGUUGCUAUUUUGAUUAAGUAAAAAGUACCAGGGCAAGGAUUAUAGAACUCUUCAUUUACCAGGGCACUUGAAUUAAUACUUGUCUAAAGUGAUAUUGAUCAUACUGCAUCAGUCUUUUUGGAUAUUUUUUUUCUCUAGCAUAUUUUUUAGACCAUAAAUUAUGACCAGAGGUGAUAUGAGAUUCCAGGCAUGUCCAAAUCGGUAGCGAGUGAGGAAGAAACCGCAGCUGGACUUUUUGCUUUAAGAAAUUUAGGAAAAUCAAGAAAAGAAAAUAUUUUUGGAACUUCUAGUAAUCCAAUCCACACCGUGGCUAGAGGACGUUGGAAUAUAAAAGAGGAGAUAUGGACAACGUUCAGGAUCUUUUUGUAUACCUUUAUCGUGAUGUGUGGUUUAGCAGCACUCUAUGAAGAUAGUGGUAUUAGAAAAGGUAUUUCCUAGUCAGUAUUGUUUUUUCAUAUUGUUUUUUUAAUCUGAUCUUAGAAGACAUGUUCUCUGGUUUGUUUUUCUCUAUUUCCCAGGACUUGGUAUAAAUGAAACACUGACACCCGUCAUGGAAACAAACACAAAAUUUAGUGAUGUAAAAGGUGUUGAUGAGGCAAAGGCUGAGCUGGAAGAAAUUGUUCAAUACCUUCGAGAUCCUAAGGUAGCUUUUUUGCCAUAAAUUCAUGCUUCCUGUUGCAUACAUUUCAGGCACUGUGCAACCAUGAUUGAACGCUUGAACUGGUAUUGUGUAUGUAGAUAUAAUAUAAUUAAUAUAAUUUCUAACAAUUUAACAUAUAUUCAUCAUUACAUGUCCUGGCCUAGUUUAUUUUUCUUGAUCACAUCAUGUGAUUAUUGAUUUAGGGCCAUGUAAAGUAAUCUAGCUCCUAGUCUGUGAACAGGUCAUUGAUUUCAAGUAAAAAAAUAGGGAAACUUUUGACUAAAUUGCAUCUCUUUCUUUGGAUAAUAAUGUCUGAAACUCAAAUAACACGGAUAUAAUAUACUAACUGCUAAAAUUAUGAUUGUUGGAGUAGUGUACAACUUACAUAAAGCUGUUUUUGGGUGUAUACUCUUUGAGAUAUACUUGUACUCAUUUUGUAUGUAUACACAUGCAUCAGCUGAGAAUAUACUCACUGAUUUUUCCAAAACAUCCAAAUUCAAGUCUUAUAGCAUGUUUCUAUUUCCAAAACUCUUGUGUUAUAUUUUUAUAUGGUUAUUUCCUGACAAGAUACAAUAGCUUAUAUAUUUUCUUGUCAUAUUUAUUAUAGUGAUUUGUUUCCCUUGUGACAGCGGUUUACUCGUCUUGGUGGUAAGCUUCCAAAAGGAGUUUUGCUUGUUGGUCCACCUGGUACUGGAAAAACGAUGUUGGCUAGAGCUAUUGCUGGUGAGGCUGGGGUUCCGUUCUUUUGUAGCAGUGGAAGUGAAUUUGAUGAGUUAUAUAUUGGUGUUGGUGCGCGAAGGGUGAGGGAUCUUUUUUCUGAAGCAAGGAAGGUAGCACCUUGUAUAAUAUUCAUUGAUGAGAUUGAUGCUAUGGGAGGUAAGCGAAAUCCACUUGAAUCAAAUUGGCGUAGGAUGACAUUAAAUCAGUUAUUGAUUGAGCUAGAUGGAUUCAAGCCUAAUGAGGGCAUAAUUUUGAUUGGGGCAACUAAUUUUCCGGAAUCAUUGGAUGAUGCAUUGGUGAGACCUGGGCGGUUUGACCGCAAAGUUGAGGUUCCCAAUCCGGAUGUAAGAGGAAGACAGCAGAUUUUGGAAUCACACAUGUCAAAGGUAUGGUUUUAUCUCUUGCAAUGAGCAUCAUAGAACAAUUUCAAAAGCACUGUUAUUGCGUUUGCUAUUGUUUGAUAUUGGAAGAUAUUUUGUUUUUAACAAUGUCUUCUACUUAUCAUAUUUAUGUUUGGUUGUCAUGUAUUGUAUCACUCUUUAUUAUAAAUAUAUUACCUUAUCUGUGUUUGUGUUUUAGAUAGAAGGGAAAUUAAUUUUAUACCUAGUUUUACUAUGUUCAACAUAGUAUUAGAGUAUAAAGUUUUUGAUGGCCAAAUUUGAAACAGUAUUCUCUGGUAUCUCAGUUCACAUCGUGUUGAUAUAUUCUGUUUGUGUAAAAGGGGAUCUACACUUUGUUUUAUGUUCUUUCAUUCAUGUACCUAUGCUGAAAAUCUCUCAUUUACUAGAGAUAAAAAUCAUACCAUAUAAGUAGAGAGAAAACCUUAAACCAGUUUUAUGAAGUCCAGUUAAGUUACUUGAGAUAAAAAAUGAGAGAAAAUAUAUUUUUGGAAGACUUGAAAGAUCCCUAUUAUGAUCUUCUAUUUAUAAUGGAAAAAAUUGAUAUAAGAGAGCAUGGAAGAUCUAAAGUCUGCACUAAACACCUAGGUACAAAAUUAGGUACAGCUGGAAGAUGUUUUGAACACACUACUCUCUACUUGGACAUAAUGAUUACUAUAACACACUCAGAUUUAAUAAUUACUUCUAACAAGGUUAAAGUUCGUGCAUUCGGUCCGUCAUGAGCAAAACAGCAAGUUUGAUGACCUUGAAACACUGCCCGAAGGCCCUAUUUUCUCUAUCCAACCUGCACUCCUUGUAAAAUAAGUAAGUGCAUUUCUUUCUGCCUCUAGAUGCGUUCAAGCGGCAUGGCUUGAAUUUUUCGUUUUGGGUUGAAGAGUUACAUCUAAUGCUUCAUUUCAGGUUGCAAACCACCCAAAAGAUAAUCCAAAAAAAUGUUCUUUUGGGUAAAGGAUGAACAUGCGAUGGGAGCAAUUCAAGUUAUUCUGUAAAUUCUUCACACAAGCCUGUUGUUUCAAUUCAGCCAGUUUUCAGAAAGUGUUUUCAUAUAAUUGCACCCCAAACCAUAUCACCAUUUCCCCUUCAGCUUCUAGAAUCCCAUAUUUAGCCCAUUUGUAUCUAAUUUAGUUUCACUUCUCCACUAGAAUUUGAACUUCAACAAAUUCCUACCCUUAGUAAUCCACCCAAUAGGGUCAUCUCCGUCAAAGGAUGGCAGUUCCACUAUAACUGCAAUUUGAUACUCAUCCAUGCCAUGGUUGCUUGAACAUGGUCCUUUCCCUUCUUAGUGUGACGAACUGCCUUGUUCAUACUCACACUUAUGGCUCACCCAUUAGUUUUCUUAACUACAACAUAAUCUUCUCAGAAUUUUCCUUCACCUGCCGCAUAUGCACGUAUCCCUUUUGCAAAUUUCUUGUCCAGGACCUCAGGAACUCUAGAGAUGUUAUCUGGCCAAAAAUCACCAAACCUAACAACUUUUUGCCCUCCUCCCCCUCCCAAGAAAAAAAAAUAGAAAACAGAUAAACAAAUACAAACAAAACUACAUAUAUUCUCUGCAGAAACUAUCAAAUGUAAAUUAUAAAAACUAAGUCCUAACAAUCCAGUUUUUAAAACUGGUGUAAAUAGUAAAGCUAAGGCUAAGGCCUAUAUUUCCUAGAAUAGGCUUUCCAAAUAAUUGGUCUCUCUGGGUGGUCCGAGGUUCCAUAUCAGCAUGUAUCGUAUUUGGUUGAUUGGAUUGACAACAUGAUUCCAUUUUUCAGAGGUACAUGGUUAGUGCUCUCAACAUAUUGGUACUAAACACUGCGUUUUAUGCUUUCUUUUUGGGCAAUGAUUGGCUAUCAAUUGGAUACUCGUGUAUGGCUCACACCCACUUAUUUUGAAGUUAACAUUUUUUACAUCCAUUAUAUGUAUAACUCUGAUCAGCAUUACCAACUUGUUUGCAUGGAUUUUAAUCUCCAAUAAAAUACAGGUUGUAACGGAUGCUGAUGUUGAUCUAAAGAUCAUUGCUCGAGGAACACCUGGGUUCUCUGGUGCUGAUCUUGCAAACUUGAUUAACAUGGCUGCUAUCAGGGCUGCAAUGAAUGAUUCUAAAGCUGUGACAAUGGCUGAUUUAGAGCAUUCAAGAGAGAAGAUACUGAUGGGCAGUGAAUUGAAGUCAACUGUUGUAUCUGAGGCGACACGAAAGCUCACUGCUUUCCAUGAGGGUGGUCGUGCCCUUGUUGCCAUUUAUACUGAUGGGGCCGACCCUGUUCACAAAGCAACUAUAGUUCCCACCGCUACGUCUCUUGGCAGGGUUAGGCAAUUGCCCGAUGAUGAUAAGCAGAGCGUUUCCCGUAAAGAAAUUCUUGCCUGGAUAGAUGUUUGCAUGGCAGGCUGGGCAGCUGAAGAGCUAAUUUUCGGAGAAGUCUCUUCUACUGUAUCCUUUGAGCUCAAACAAGCAACUAGGGCGGCAAGGAUGAUGGUUACCAAAUAUGGCAUGGGCAAUGAAGUUGGACCAGUCACUCACGAAUACAAUGAUAAAGGGAGGAGCAUGAGCUCAGAGACAAGGCUUCUCAUUGAGAAAGAGGUGAAGCAACUCGUGGAGAGAGGUUACAACAAUGCAAAAACCAUUCUGACCACUCACAGCAAGGAGCAUCAUGCACUUGCAAAUGCUCUUUUGGAGCACGAGACUCUCACAGGAACUCAGAUAAAGACAUUGCUUGCCGAAGUUAGAGCUCAGAUGGAGCAGCAGCAGCAGCAUCUACAAACAGUUGAAGCUCAGAGCAGUUCACAAUCCAGCACGGUGCCUCCAUCAUCCAGCUGCUAGGGCUAAAAGUGCUCCAGUGGGAUCUUAGCAGAACAAGAUGCUGGAGCAGCAAACAUAACUAGUACUAGUUGAUUGAAAAUGUUCUUAUAGUAAUUUUUACAGGUUUUUCACACGGAGGAGCUCAGCUCAUGAACCUCAGAUUCUAGGUGACAUAAAAGUAUAUGCACUUACUUUUCUCUUUCUUUGUAGGGUACGAUGAAAAAAAAAAUAAGAGAUUAUCAGGUACCUCCUACUGAAUCUGGUACUCUCUCACGUGGUCUUUAUCAAAGACUAUAAAUUAUAACACAUUAUUACCUUGCUCAAUUCUUUGUUCUCUUCACCUUCCUCUGAAUGCCC
This 8224-nucleotide long non-coding RNA is filed under the name Vigna radiata. RNAcentral describes it as "long non-coding RNA (VRAD_LNC005675)". The record is from RNAcentral. Lineage: Eukaryota; Viridiplantae; Streptophyta; Magnoliopsida; Fabales; Fabaceae.